RNAcentral lists this ribosomal RNA (468 nucleotides) under uncultured bacterium. Its description in RNAcentral is "partial 16S ribosomal RNA". It matches the Rfam family "Bacterial small subunit ribosomal RNA", at positions 28 to 507 of the family's 1533-position model. The record is from RNAcentral.
GACGAACGCUGGCGGCGUGCUUAACACAUGCAAGUCGAACGGAAAGGCCCUGCUUUUGUGGGGUGCUCGAGUGGCGAACGGGUGAGUAACACGUGAGUAACCUGCCCUUGACUUUGGGAUAACUUCAGGAAACUGGGGCUAAUACCGGAUAGGAGCUCCUGCUGCAUAGUGGGGGUUGGAAAGUUUCGGCGGUUGGGGAUGGACUCGCGGCUUAUCAGCUUGUUGGUGGGGUAGUGGCUUACCAAGGCUUUGACGGGUAGCCGGCCUGAGAGGGUGACCGGCCACAUUGGGACUGAGAUACGGCCCAGACUCCUACGGGAGGCAGCGGUGGGGAAUAUUGCACAAUGGGCGGAAGCCUGAUGCAGCAACGCCGCGUGCGGGAUGACGGCCUUCGGGUUGUAAACCGCUUUCGCCUGUGACGAAGCGUGAGUGACGGUAAUGGGUAAAGAAGCACCGGCUAACUACGUG